AACACUUGUAAGAAACCAAAAGAGGGCAAUAUCUCUCAGUAUUACACUAAAAGAAGUCUCUUUUAGGUUUUCACAAGCUCCUCCUCAGAGUCUUUUUGAUAUUUAUGAAAGCAAAACUGUCAACAGAUUGUCAGUGUCAAUUUAAAACAGAUCAUGAGGUGGAUGAGGAUUAUAUUUCUAUUUGCACUAUUCAGUCUUGAGUGCAGAUCAGAAGAGAAAGUCGACCAGCCAGUCAAACGUGUCACUGAAGUUGAAGGAAAAUCAGUGACAUUAAACUGCACAUUUACGACAACUUCAACACAGCCAUACCUCUUCUGGUACGUCCAGAGAGCAAAUGACAUUCCUAAAUACAUCCUGAGAAGGGACAAGUUUGGAAUUGGAGAAAAUGGCACUGAGUUUCAGGAGAGAUUUCACUCUGAAAUUUCAUCAAACUCAGUUCCUCUGAUGAUCAAGGAUGUGAGUGUGUCUGACUCUGCUGUGUAUUACUGUGCUCUGAGGCCCACUGUGACAAAACUCAAGUCAAACCACAUACAAAAACACUGAGGCAUAAACAUUUGAAUGUGACUCUUUAAAAAGUAUUUUUUGACAUUUAAAAACUGUAAUAAAAUCAUGAUGAAACUAAGUAACAGUGAACUACAAUAAACUUUAUUACUCUGUAAAAAAUUAUUGUGAUUUUAACUGUAAAAGACUGUAAAAUUGCUAUGGUGAAAAACUGUUAGUUGGUUAAGUUAAUUGGAUUGAUUAUUUGAACGUGCUCCUCCCGAACUUUGUUCAAUGAAACAUCCUUUAACUCUCUCAACUUGUGGAAAAGCUGCUUGUGUCACAA
Non-coding RNA from Pimephales promelas (fathead minnow), 826 nucleotides. The record is from the annotation of a RefSeq genome assembly. Lineage: Eukaryota; Metazoa; Chordata; Actinopteri; Cypriniformes; Leuciscidae.